CUUUCUUGGUGUUGCAUUUUCAAUGUCACAUAGUGUAUAAUAAACAACUGCUUGCUUAUGUUUGCUUUAUGCAGAAAACAUAAAAAAUAUUUCUUUUGGAAUUAAAGAUUCGACUCAUCCAUUGAGUUAUCACCAGCCAGAAACAUUCUUUUACAAUUGUUUAAUGUUAUAAAAUGAAGUGUUAAAUAUAAUUUAUUUUUAAUGACUGCAUUAGAUAGAACCAACAAAUCUUUGGAUAGUGUCGAUAAUAUAAAUUAACUGCAGGUCGUCUUUUGACUUAUGGCAGGGUUCAAUCCUGUUUUUGUAAGUCAUAAAUGCCAUAAAUUUAUGAGUUUUUCACUAAUAAUGUUUUCUAGGACACUAUCCAUUAUUUUCAUGAACAUAAAGAAUACAAAACUACAAGAAAAACAUACAAACAGAAGAGGCUCUAUAUCGACGAUUGGAUCAGGAACUCAACCCAAUUAUAUUACAUUGACCAUCAUAAGUAUGAGUCAUGUAAGCGAAGGAUUAUUUGUAUAAACAGAUGAAACAGUCUUUGUGCCAAAAAUUUACGAUUUAAUUAAAAUUAUUUCUGUAAGAGAUUCAGUUAUCAAUUUUACUGUCUCCUUUGUUUGCUAUAUUAAUACUAACAUAAAAUACUAUUGCU
Molecule: long non-coding RNA, 646 nt
Filed under: Androctonus crassicauda
Lineage: Eukaryota; Metazoa; Arthropoda; Arachnida; Scorpiones; Buthidae
Source: RNAcentral